Molecule: ribosomal RNA, 219 nt
Filed under: uncultured bacterium
Lineage: Bacteria
Description: partial 16S ribosomal RNA
Rfam family: Bacterial small subunit ribosomal RNA
Source: RNAcentral
UAAACCUGCCUCUUAGCGGGGGGUAACUAUUGGAAACGAUAGCUAAUACCGCAUAAAAGUACGACAUUGCAUGAUGUUGACUUGAAAGGUGCAAUUGCAUCACUAAGAGAUGGACCUGCGUUGUAUUAGCUAGUUGGUGAGGUAACGGCUCACCAAGGCGACGAUACAUAGCCGACCUGAGAGGGUGAUCGGCCACACUGGGACUGAGACACGGCCCAG